AUUGAACGCUGGCGGCAGGCCUAACACAUGCAAGUCGAACGAGUGGCGGACGGGUGAGUCAUGUCUGGGACACUGCCUGAUGGAGGGGGAUAACUACUGGAAACGGUAGCUAAUACCGCAUACCAUCAGAUGUGCCCAGAUGGGGUGAGCUAGUAGGUGGGGUAAAGGCUCACCUAGGCGACGAUCCCUAGCUGGUCUGUGAGGCUGACCAGCCACACUGGAACUGAGACACGGUCCAGACUCCUACGGGAGGCAGCAGUGGGGAAUAUUGCACAAUGGGCGCAAGCCUGAUGCAGCCAUGCCGCGUGUGUGAAGAAGGCCUUCGGGUUGUAAAGCACUUUCAGCGAGGAGGCGUUACUCGCAGAAGAAGCACCGGCUAACUCCGUGCCAGCAGCCGCGGUAAUAC
RNAcentral lists this ribosomal RNA (406 nucleotides) under uncultured bacterium. RNAcentral's name for it is "partial 16S ribosomal RNA". It matches the Rfam family "Bacterial small subunit ribosomal RNA", at positions 30 to 526 of the family's 1533-position model. The record is from RNAcentral.